UCUUUAUCACCGAGUGCUUGCACUCACCGAUAAAGAGUUGAGUGGCGAACGGGUGAGUAACACGUGGGCAACCUGCCCAAAAGAGGGGGAUAACACUUGGAAACAGGUGCUAAUACCGCAUAACCAUAGUUACCGCAUGGUAACUAUGUAAAAGGUGGCUAUACUACCGCUUUUGGAUGGGCCCGCGGCGCAUUAGCUAGUUGGUAGGGUAAAGGCUUACCAAGGCAAUGAUGCGUAGCCGAAUUGAGAGGUUGAUCGGCCACAUUGGGACUGAGACACGGCCCAAACUCCUACGGGAGGCAGCAGUAGGGAAUCUUCCACAAUGGGCGAAAGCCUGAUGGAGCAACGCCGCGUGGGUGAAGAAGGUCUUCGGAUCGUAAAACCCUGUUGUUAGAGAAGAAAGUGCGUGAGAGUAACUGUUCACGUUUCGACGGUAUCUAACCAGAAAGCCACGGCUAACUACGUGCCAGCAGCCGCGGUAAUACGUAGGUGGCAAGCGUUAUCCGGAUUUAUUGGGCGUAAAGGGAACGCAGGCGGUCUUUUAAGUCUGAUGUGAAAGCCUUCGGCUUAACCGGAGUAGUGCAUUGGAAACUGGGAGACUUGAGUGCAGAAGAGGAGAGUGGAACUCCAUGUGUAGCGGUGAAAUGCGUAGAUAUAUGGAAGAACACCAGUGGCGAAAGCGGCUCUCUGGUCUGUAACUGACGCUGAGGUUCGAAAGCGUGGGUAGCAAACAGGAUUAGAUACCCUGGUAGUCCACGCCGUAAACG
This 767-nucleotide ribosomal RNA is filed under the name uncultured bacterium. RNAcentral describes it as "bacterial SSU rRNA". It matches the Rfam family "Bacterial small subunit ribosomal RNA", at positions 72 to 808 of the family's 1533-position model. The record is from RNAcentral.